Molecule: ribosomal RNA, 253 nt
Filed under: uncultured bacterium
Lineage: Bacteria
Description: partial 16S ribosomal RNA
Rfam family: Bacterial small subunit ribosomal RNA
Source: RNAcentral
UACGUAGGGAGCAAGCGUUGUCCGGAAUCAUUGGGCGUAAAGCGCGCGUAGGUGGCCUCAUAAGUCCGUUGUGAAAGUCAAAGGCUCAACCUUUGAAAGCCGAUGGAUACUGUGAGACUAGAGUACGGAAGAGGCGAGUGGAAUUCCUGGUGUAGCGGUGGAAUGCGCAGAUAUCAGGAGGAACACCGAUUGCGAAGGCAGCUCGCUGGGACGUCACUGACGCUGAGACGCGAAAGCGUGGGGAGCAAACAGG